RNAcentral lists this ribosomal RNA (331 nucleotides) under uncultured eukaryote. Its description in RNAcentral is "partial 18S ribosomal RNA". It matches the Rfam family "Eukaryotic small subunit ribosomal RNA", at positions 1470 to 1796 of the family's 1831-position model. The record is from RNAcentral.
CCCUUAGAUGUUCUGGGCCGCACGCGCGCUACACUGUUCGACGCAGCGAGUCUUAACCUUGACCGAAAGGUUUGGGUAAUCUUCAGCAAAGUCGAACGUGAUGGGGAUCGAUCAUUGCAAUUAUUGAUCGUGAACGAGGAAUUCCUAGUAAGUGCAAGUCAUCAGCUUGCGCUGAUUACGUCCCUGCCCUUUGUACACACCGCCCGUCGCUACUACCGAUUGAAUGGUUUAGUGAGAUCUCUGGAUUGACGCUGGCUAGGGGGCGACCCUUGGCCAGACUGUUGCGAAACUGCUCAAACUUGAUCAUUUAGAGGAAGUAAAAGUCGUAACA